CACGUAGUUAGCCGGUGCUUAUUCCUCUGAUACUCUCAUCUCUGUAUGCUAUUAACACACAGACUUUGCCCUCAGAUAAAAGAACUUUACAACCCUAAGGCCUUCUUCAUUCACGCGGCGUUGCUGGAUCAGGGUUGCCCCCAUUGUCCAAAAUUCCCCACUGCUGCCUCCCGUAAGAGUCUGGGCCGUGUCUCAGUCCCAGUGUGGCUGAUCUUCCUCUCAGAACAGCUAUUGAUCAUCGCCUUGGUAAGCCUUUACCCCACAACUAGCUAAUCAACCAUCGGCCGAUCUAAUAGCGCCUGGACUAUCUCUAGCUCCCAAGCUUUCCUCCUCAGAGAUUAUACGGUAUUAGCUCAUCUUUCAAUGAGUUAUCCCAUCCUAUUAGGCACGUUCCGAUGUAUUACUCACCCGUCCGCCACUCGCCAUCAGGAGCAAAGCUCCUAUGCUGCCGUUGACUUGCAUGUGUAAAGCACGCCCG
RNAcentral lists this ribosomal RNA (478 nucleotides) under uncultured Pseudomonadota bacterium. RNAcentral describes it as "uncultured proteobacterium partial 16S ribosomal RNA". The record is from RNAcentral. Lineage: Bacteria; Pseudomonadati; Pseudomonadota.